Sus scrofa (pig) is the source of this 8873-nucleotide non-coding RNA. NCBI's taxonomy places the organism in Eukaryota, Metazoa, Chordata, Mammalia, Artiodactyla, Suidae. The record is from RefSeq and is a predicted model, not a curated record.
GAGGUGUGUCGCCGGAAGUGACGCACUCCGGAAGCGGCUCUCUGUGGCGAAGCUGGGACCGCGGGUUUGGAAAUCAGGGUUUAAGUUGGAUGUGACCAAGUUCGCGCCAGCCUGGUUUCUAGCUCCUGUCUAGUUCACAGAGGAGUCAUUCACGAGUUUUUCCCGCUCUGCAACAUGAGUGGCCUGGCCUCGCAGUGAUUUCCGUGAGCGUGGCUAAGGUGGGACCUAGGUUGGGUUCAGGUCAGGCGAGGACGCUGCUCUAAACUACAUCUCGCUAGCCGCUCUGGCUCUCUCUGGCUGAACUAGAGAAGGCCUGGAGGUCCCCCCGCGUUUCCGACGUGAACCUGGCGUAAGCAGAGAGCUGGGGUUCGGGCGGUGGCGGGGGGGAUUCAUCGCCCAGACGCUCCUUGUAAUUCGGAGAGAGAGAAAAACGACUGUUGUCCAGCAUUUUUCUUGGAGGAGGAGAACUAAGCAAUAGGAACAUGUCUGUUUUCCCUAAAAUAUCGUUGAGACUUGAAGUUGAAAACUACCUUAAAGCGAACUUUUUGAAUAAGGAGGUUGUAUCUGCUUUUGGUAAACAAGAAGCAGAAAGGAAGUUUGAAACUCUGUUGCAAAACUUGUCCCACCCUCCAUCAUUCACCACUGUCAGAGUAAAUACACAUUUAGCCUCAGUACAACAUGUGAAAACUCUGUUACAUGAUGAACUUCAGAAGCAGUUUAAUGGAUUAAGUUUUCCUGUUCUUCAACAUCCAGACCUUCAGGAUGUCUUACUCAUUCCUGUUAUUGGACCUAGGAAGAAUAUAAAACAACAGCACUGUGAAGUUAUUGUUGGAGCCCAGUGUGGCAACUCAGUGUUACGAGGAGCCCACGUGUAUGUUCCAGGAAUUGUGUCAGCCUCAAAAUUUAUGAAAGGUGGAGAUACUGUUUCCGUAUACUCUGAUAUUAAAGGCAAAUGUAAGAAAGGAGCCAAAGAAUUUGAUGGAACAAAAAUAUUUCUUGGAAAUGGGAUUUCUGAACUAAGCCGCAAAGAAAUCUUCAGCGGGCUACCUGAUCUUAAAGGCAUAGGCAUAAGAAUGACGGAACCAGUGUAUCUCAGCCCUUCAUUUGACGAUGUACUGCCUGGCUACUUAUUUUUACAGAAUUUGCCUUCUGCCGUAGUAACACAUGUUCUGGAUCCUCAACCUGGAGAAAGGAUUCUGGAUUUGUGUGCAGCACCUGGAGGCAAAACAACACACAUUGCAGCACGAAUGCGUGAUCAGGGAGAAGUGAUAGCACUGGAUAAAAUAGCCAACAAAGUAGAAAAAAUAAAGCAGAAUGCAUUAUUACUAGGCCUGAAUUCCAUCAGGGCAUUUUGCUUUGAUGGAACAAAGGCCCUCAAACUUGAUAUAGACACAGAAGGAGAACCUCCAUUCUUACCCGAAUCUUUUGACCGAAUUCUGCUUGAUGCCCCCUGCAGUGGAAUGGGACAGAGACCAAACAUGGCUUGUACUUGGACUUUGAAGGAAGUGACAUCAUACCAACCAUUACAGAGAAAACUCUUUACUGUGGUAGGUGAUGAUACUUUGCUACGGGAGAAAGGUGACUUCUACUAUUUUGAUAUUUUGAAGACAGAGCAGGUAGUGUUCAUAGUAGCAUUGGUCACAUUAACCAAAAUGUGGAAGAAACCAAUGGAAGAGUAAAAUGUGGUCUCUGCAUACAAUGGACUAUUAUACAGCCUUGAAAAGGAAUGAAAUUCCGAUACAUGCUACAGCACGGAUGAAUUCUGAACACAUUAUUUAUGCUAAGUUAUAUAAGCCAGACACAAAGGGACCAAAUAUUACAUGAUUCCAUUUACAGAGGCUGGGGGGGGACGGGAGAACAGGGAGUUACUGUUUAAUGGGGACGGAGUUUCAAUUUGGAAUGAUGAAAAAGUUUGGGAGAAGGAUAAUGGUAGUGGUUGUACAGCAGUGUGAAUGUACUUAAUGCCAUUGAAUUGUACACUUAAAAAUGGCUAAAAUGGUAAAUUUUAUUUACCGCACACACAGAAAACUGGAGACCUAUUUUUCCUUUAUGUUGACUCUUUCAUCACAGGCAAUAGUAGAAUUUGUUCUCUGAGACAUUUUGUGAAUUUCAAACAUUCUGUUCUGUCUUAAAAAUAGAGAGUUGUUAAUAUAUACCAAUUGAUGUAAAAAACUUGGAUAUAAAGUAAUUUUUUUUUUCAUUUUUGGCCAUCCCACACUGUAUGGAGCUCCUGGGCCAGGGAUCGGAGCCCAGCGCAGUUUCAACCUAAGUUGAAGCUGCAGCAAUGCCAAUGCCAGAUCUUUAACCCACUGUGCCGGGCACUCUAAAGAUGCUGCCAAUCCCGUUGUGCCACAAUGGGAGCUCCUAAAAUAAUUUUUCCAAUAGGGUUCCUGGAUCAUAGUGAAUUAAACGUAGGAAAUCCAGUAGAGGCAAGGACAUGCAUAAAAUUGAGAAGAGGCUGGAUCCAGUGCAGAAUAUAGAAGAACUGUAAAAAUUUAGGAGAUCUAACUAGUCUCCACUAUGUUUCAGAACAAUGACAAAAAAGACCAUUGGAGAAUUCUUGUUUUUUGCAAAAAAGAUUUUGUGGAUUUCCCAAGAUGUAGACAGCAUUUGAUCAAAGAUGAUUUUGUCAUUUCCUCUCAGCUUCCUAAUUACAAAUACGAAGGCUCCGGCAAUAAUGGCUGUACUGUGAUGAGCCCAUCUCCAACGCUGUCCAUAAGUACGUUUCCUAUCAGCUCUUCCUGUGUCUCCUGGCCUCCACAGCAGGGGCACUGGUGGUUGGUUGUUUAAACCUUCUCUUCUGUAUGGUCUGAUUCAAAGAACACAUCCUGGAAGUCACAGGAGCAGGCACCCAGAAAGAAGCUUGACUUAUAGCCAAAACCCACUUUGACAAGAGGGUGAAAUUAGGACCAUGCUUUAAAAGACUUGGUAUUUAGCUCAGAGGAAAAAGGCAUUUUGUUUUGUUACUUAUUUAUAUUUGGUUGCACCCGAGGCAUGUGAAGGUUCCCAGGCCAGGGAUCAAACCUGUGCCACAGCAGUGACAAUGCUGAGUCCUUAACCUGCUAGGCCACCAGGGAGUUUCCCCCCCAAAGACAUUGAAGGGCCACUUGGAGGAGAUGUACUGAUCUCAGUGACAAGGAGCAGCUGACUGUGUAUGAGAGAGAGUGUAGAAUCUGGCAGGUGUGCCACUGGACAAAGGGUAGAAAUGGAGAAUGUGGACACGUCCUGAUUUGAGCCAUGGCUUCUGCAUAUAAGUUAAGGGGUUUAAGCACAGGGGUUUCCAGAUUUGAGAAGGGGGGAUAAUAACUGCCCUGACAGGGUUACCUCAUUGGAGACAGUAACUAUACCUCAUAGUGGUUAUAGGAUUUAUUGAGAAAAUCUAUGUAAUGUGCUUAAAACGGUCAUUGGCACCUAGUAGCAAAGUUUAAAUUCUGAUCAGUGUACUGUGUAUGGAUCAGUGUACAGGGUAUGGUUAAGAAAGCAUAUUAUUUGAAUUUUUUUAAAAAAGAUUUUCAUUAAAAAUUUAAAAAACUGAGAAUUUGAAAAGAGAAACUUGAGUUCUGUGGGACAAGUUCCUUUUCCUAUUGCACUUUAUUUCCUGGACAAAUACUGAUUGGGCACCUUCUCUGUAAAAUGCUCCUCUUGGUGCUGACUGUAUGGUAGUCAGCCUCGCCUUUAUACACAGGAUUUCUAUUCUAAUUGGGGAGGAAAAUUAACAAAUAGAUGAGUGAGGGAUUUAGGGCAUUUCAGGAUGAUAAUCCAUGGAGCAAACUGAAGAAAGGACAGGAAUGCCUGGUCAGAAUAGUUGGAGUUGGGAGUUCCUGUUGGGGCUCAGGAGGUUAAGAGUCCAGCUAGUAUCCAUGAGGAUGCGGGUUCAAUCCCUGGCCUCACUCAGUGAUUUAAAUGAUCUGGUGUUGCCAUGAGCUAUGGCGUAGAUCCUGGGUGCUACGUGGAUCCCAUGUACCACUGGGAUCUAGCAUUGCUGUGGCUGUGGUGUAGUCUGGCAACUGCAGCUCCCAUUCAGCACCUAGCCUGGGAACUUCUCUAUGCCACAGUGUGGCCCUUAGAAUAGUUGGGAGUAGGACUCAGGGACCCAGGGUGGUCUGGGAGGGCAUUGCUGGGACCUGGAAAUAGAAGCAAAGAUAAGAAGGUUGUGAGGAGGGGGCAGCAGCGCAGGGACUGAGCAGAGCUUUCUGAGCUGUUGCAGAGAUCCUGAGGGGCGUGUCCUGCGGGAUCCAGACCAGCAGAGGCUGGUGGUACUCAAGCAGAGAGAGUGAGGCACCCAAGAAGGGAAGGCAGUGAGAGGCCGGCUGUAUGCGGGGCUUUGCAGGCAGCUCUGAGGAUAUGGGCUUUGACUCCAGGUCAUGAUGGAGAACAUUUGAAGCUGAGAAGAGACAGCUUUAAAAGCACCACUCUGGCUGCUGAGAAUAGAUGAUAGGAGGCCAUGGAACUAAGCAGGAAGGAAACUGUUGGGAUAGUCCAGGCAAAAGAUGCUGCAGCUUGGAGCAGAGUGACAGCAGUGGGAGUGGUGAGGAGAAGCCAGCUUGUGGAUUUUGCUCGAUGGAUGGGGAUGCGGGAGAGAAAGAGGCACAUGAAGGAUAAUCUGAGGUGGGGGCCCGAGCCCCUGGAAGGACGGGCAUACUUCUGCAGUAGGUUUCAGAGAAGACUGUACAUCUGACUAAAAAUGUUGAGAAGGCAGUCGAAUAUAGAGUAUGGAACUCAAAAAGGAAUCUCAGGAGUUCCCCAUGUGGCCCAGUGGUAACAAACCAGAUUAGUAUCCAUGAGGAUAUGGGUUUGAUCCCUCAGCAGGUUAAGGAUCCAGCAUUGCCAUGAGCUGUGGUAUAGAUCUUGGGUGUGGCUCAGAACUGGUGUGGCUGUGGUGUAGACUGGCAGCUGUAACUCUGAUUUGAACCCUAUCCUUGGAACUUCCAUGUGCUGUGUGUCCCUUAAAAAAAAAAAAAAAAAAAAGGAAAAAUUUAAAAAGGGAUCUCAUCUAAAAAUGUAAAUUUGUGAGUUUUUAGCAUAAAAAUGGAGUCUAGGCGUUCCUGUUGUGGUGCAGCGGAAACAAAGCCAACUAGGAACCAUGAAGUUGUGGGUUCGAUUCCUGGCCUCACUCAGUGGGUUGAGGGUGUAGGUCGCAGAUGCGGCUUGGAUCUGGCAUUUCUGUGGCUGUGGUGUAGGCCAGCAGCUGUAGCUCUGAUUGGAUCCCCAGCCCGGGAACCUCCAUAUGCUGAGGGUGCAGCCCUAAAAAGAGAAAACACACAAAAAAAGAGUCUAAAGCCGUGAAACUGAGUGAUCAUAUUUGGAAAGGUCUAUUUCCCUGUGGACUAAAACAGCUCCAAGAUACUGAAGCGCACCUGGUCUGGAGCACUAAUUGGAGAAUCCUGGCUCUGCAGGCCAGCAUGCGUUUAUUUCAAACACUUGGAAAAGGUUUAUAUACAUAGAGAUCUUGGAAUGUGUAUUCGCUCUUGUGAUCCGCACAGUCUGAUGACACUUUGCUUUAGGCAGUUGAGCUGCUGAAGCCGGGGGGCGUGCUGGUUUACAGCACAUGCACCGUCACGCUGGCAGAAAAUGAAGAACAAGUUGCCUGGGCCCUGGGAACAUUUCCCUGCCUUCAGCUGCAGCGCCAGGACCCUCAGAUCGGAGGAGCAGGGAUGAUGGGAGCUGGCCUGACGUCUGAACAGUUGAAACAGCUGCAGCGAUUCGAUCCGUCCGUGGUGCCAUCAUGGGACACUGACAUUGAUUCUCUCAGAGACACCAGAACAGAAGACAUGAUCCGGCUGGCAAAUCAGGACUGUAUAGGUUUCUUCAUUGCAAAAUUUGUAAAAGGCAAAAACACAAAGGUGAAGGCGCCGUAGAAGUGAAAAUUCCAAACAUUUGCUGUGCACUGUUUUUUUUUCCCCUUAAUUUAAAUCAAACUGUCAUCAGGCCACGUGAUUGAUGACGUGGUUGCUAAGGAAAUGGAAAAGGCUGCCAGCUGUUCCACCAGGAACCCAGGGACUUGAUCAAGAGACUCUGCUUCAUAGAGGACAUAGCCAGGGGGCGAUUUGAUAUUCUAUUUCUUGUUUUUAAAAUAAUUUUUUUCUUCAUGGAUUUAGCAGAGUAUAAAGAAGGCAGUAUGAAGAAAAGGGGAUGCCUAUAAAUGUCUGGAACAUACUUUCACUUGGGGUCUUUUAAUUUGUAAAGAGUACAAAUCAUUUUUAAUGUUAAAAUCAGUGGAUUUAACAUAAGGAAUAAAAUCUGCAAUAUUUAAUUUGGUUAUAAAACAUGUUUUCUGUUCCUGAGUUCAUGUGUACAAGUUGCUUACAAAUUCAGGUUAUGGGAACUAUAAUUUAUUUAUCGUGUGCCGGGAACUGAGCUGGGGAUUUUACCUGACUUUUUCUGUUGACUGUUUCGUCAAAUCAACUCCCUUUCACCUGAAUUCUGGGCCUCUCCUAAAUGACAGUCUCCCUUUACUGUGUUUACUUUUUUCCCCUUCAUAUUUAAGAAAACUUUUUUUUUUUUCUUUUUAUAGCCUCACCUGUGGAACAUGGAAGUUCCUGGGCUAGGGGUUGAAUUGGAGCUGCAGCUGCUGGUCUACACCACAGCCACGCCAAAUCCGAGCCAAGUCUGUGACCUUUACUCCAGCUUGUGACAACGCCAGAUCCUUAACCCAAUGAGCGAGGCCAGGGAUUGAACCUGCAUCCUCAUGGACACUAUGUCAGGUUCUUAACCCCCGAGCCACACCAGGAACUCCCCCCUUCGAUUUUAAACUGAAAACUAAAAUGAAACUUUUUUUUUUACUCUAUAGAUUAAAAGUGAGAAUACUGCACAAUUUGGGUACCUUUUAUCACCUGGUGGAUCACAUACAGGUUAUUAAGAGAUGUGAGUGGUGAGAAAGAGAAAAAAGCAUCCUCUGAGAGCUGGGAAGUGGCUGGACACUUAGAGUUAAGCCUUGGCGUCCUACCACCGAACAGAAGCAGGUCCAGAGAACACCGACCUCAGACCAUGCAGCUGUGACUGGGCCAGAUCAAGACAAAAAAGACCUCUUUACAGUUAAAAAUCUGAAAUCAUCCAAACCACAAACGUGACCAAACACCACAUCUUUCCCUGUAGUGGCCAGUUUAAGAGGACUGCCUUUUUAAAAUUAAUUGUAACGGUGGGCUUGCUUCAUCCUACCUGCUUUUUUAGGUAAGAUAUAUUAAAAUACUCAAUACCCAGCCAUAAUUUAAAAGCUGUCUCAUUUAGUGUUAAUAACAUCCGUUCUGUAAAUUCACAUCUACCCAAAUUGAGCCAUGGGCAUAUAAAGUGGAUAAUUGGAAGUAAUUGCCUAAUAGUUUUUUUUUCUCAUAGGUUUCCAUUAAGAAUUUCUCGAAUCUGUUGUAUCCAUCAGGAAUGCCAGGUCUCGUGGAUCAGUGUGACCCUUGACGUAUGAAUAAGUUGAGAAUAUCCAGAACUAGCAGCACUGCAUCACCGUGCAGAGGGUGAGGAAUUAAAUUCAUCAUCAAGAUGGAUCUCCAUUUUAAGAAUGAACAGUAAAAUUCAAAAUCCAAGUCAAGAAUUGCUGAAUACAUAAAUUGAAGGUGGGGAGAAGUUGACUCGGCUGUGCUCAGGCCUCAGGAACCUUUUACCUGCCGGAAGCUGUCAUUUUAUCAGACGUGAUGGGAAGACCACACUGCAGGCCCUCAGUGACUGGCAAGGCCCCACAGGAAGAUGGGCCAUGAGUGGGAGGUGCUGGAGCAAGAACAAGGAGCCAGCAGAUGCGCGCCCCCUCUGGCUGUGAGCUUCCUCCCGUCCCUGCCCGCCCUCCGGACCCCGCAGCAUCCCGCGGCCUGUGACCUGCAGGGCAGGUGGGUGGGCGCCUGACGCCAGGCUGGUUUCUUCAUCCGUCUUCCGCAUUCAGAUCCACUCGUGCACACUCUCGCACCCAGACCCACACGCAUGCACACACGGAACUCCGGCUCAGACGACAGUGGCCGCGGAGCACGCGGUUGUCGCAGGCAGUGCCCACCGAUGGAGUAGAACAACCUUUGGAGUUUGAUUAUAUUUACCAUCAUUUACGGUCAAAAUCGUUGACUUACAAGGAUGGGAAAACAUUCAGAAAUCAGCCUGUUCAAGUCAAGCAGUCACACGUAUUUACAGUAUGUACAGACUUUCUCCUAGAACGGGGAUAGGUGUCUGGACGAUGGUAUUACAAAUUUCCUGAAGGUGGGCGUUUCUAGUCCCUGUAAUUCAUAAAGCAAAUCUGCUGACUUGGCAUUAAGACUCUAAAACAGUGUGGUCAAACUGAUAUAUAUAUAUGUAUAUAUAUAUAUAAUAUAUAUAAUUAUCAUAAGAAGGUGUUUGCAGAAAUAACAUUUACAAACUGUCUAUACAGUACACAAUACUAGUACAUAGAAAAUAGAUUCUAACUUUAUGAUCCCCUUUGUGUAAGGCAAGACUGAAUCUGUCCCCAAAUUUAGUCAGCCAGAGGUACAAGCAAGAAACAGUGGUCCAUGGAUGAAUAUGCAAAUCAGGUCGGUGCCUACAUAUUAAAAAUCUGGAGAAUCAAGAAAUCCAAUUUUUAAUCUGGGCCAGUCCUGGCCCACUGGAUACAUCAACUACAUUUUGGAAAAUGUCAGCUAUGCGUCUUAAAAUGCUAACGCCACGUGGAUGGCAACAGAUUUUGUUCAAGUGGCAGCAAGCCCAGACAGUUGAAAUAGUCCAGUCCGCAACCAGAGGAUGGCAGCCUUUCCAGGCCGAUUCCCGCAGCACUUAAAAAGGAAAAAAAGGAUAUUAAUACUCUAUUUCAUGCUAUUGCUAGUCAAGCAACAGCAGAACAAAUAUACAGGACAGAUCACGUAAUUGCGAUGUAGACGCCCCCAGACUGAGUGUGAGGGUGGUGGUGUACAAGA